This 593-nucleotide ribosomal RNA is filed under the name Aureobasidium pullulans. RNAcentral's name for it is "partial large subunit ribosomal RNA". It matches the Rfam family "Eukaryotic large subunit ribosomal RNA", at positions 48 to 657 of the family's 3401-position model. Lineage: Eukaryota; Fungi; Ascomycota; Dothideomycetes; Dothideales; Saccotheciaceae. The record is from RNAcentral.
AAACGGGGAAAAGAAACCAACAGGGAUUGCCCUAGUAACGGCGAGUGAAGCGGCAACAGCUCAAAUUUGAAAGCUAGCCUUCGGGUUCGCAUUGUAAUUUGUAGAGGAUGAUUUGGGGAAGCCGCCUGUCUAAGUUCCUUGGAACAGGACGUCAUAGAGGGUGAGAAUCCCGUAUGUGACAGGAAAUGGCACCCUAUGUAAAUCUCCUUCGACGAGUCGAGUUGUUUGGGAAUGCAGCUCUAAAUGGGAGGUAAAUUUCUUCUAAAGCUAAAUAUUGGCGAGAGACCGAUAGCGCACAAGUAGAGUGAUCGAAAGAUGAAAAGCACUUUGGAAAGAGAGUUAAAAAGCACGUGAAAUUGUUGAAAGGGAAGCGCUUGCAAUCAGACUUGUUUAAACUGUUCGGCCGGUCUUCUGACCGGUUUACUCAGUUUGGACAGGCCAGCAUCAGUUUCGGCGGCCGGAUAAAGGCUCUGGGAAUGUGGCCUCCACUUCGGUGGAGGUGUUAUAGCCCAGGGUGUAAUACGGCCAGCCGGGACUGAGGUCCGCGCUUCGGCUAGGAUGCUGGCGUAAUGGUUGUAAGCGACCCGUCUGAA